This 365-nucleotide ribosomal RNA is filed under the name Sulfitobacter sp. HI0129. Its description in RNAcentral is "bacterial SSU rRNA". It matches the Rfam family "Bacterial small subunit ribosomal RNA", at positions 305 to 687 of the family's 1533-position model. The record is from RNAcentral. Lineage: Bacteria; Pseudomonadati; Pseudomonadota; Alphaproteobacteria; Rhodobacterales; Roseobacteraceae.
CAGCAACACUGGGACUGAGACACGGCCCAGACUCCUACGGGAGGCAGCAGUGGGGAAUCUUAGACAAUGGGCGCAAGCCUGAUCUAGCCAUGCCGCGUGUGUGAUGAAGGUCUUAGGAUCGUAAAGCACUUUCGCCAGGGAUGAUAAUGACAGUACCUGGUAAAGAAACCCCGGCUAACUCCGUGCCAGCAGCCGCGGUAAUACGGAGGGGGUUAGCGUUGUUCGGAAUUACUGGGCGUAAAGCGUACGUAGGCGGAUCAGAAAGUUAGGGGUGAAAUCCCGAGGCUCAACCUCGGAACUGCCUCUAAAACUCCUGGUCUUGAGUUCGAGAGAGGUGAGUGGAAUUCCAAGUGUAGAGGUGAAAU